Molecule: ribosomal RNA, 797 nt
Filed under: uncultured archaeon
Lineage: Archaea
Description: bacterial SSU rRNA
Rfam family: Archaeal small subunit ribosomal RNA
Source: RNAcentral
ACGGCUCAGUAACACGUAGUCAAUCUAACCUAUGGACGGGGAUAACCUCGGGAAACUGAGGAUAAACCCCGAUAGAUCAUUAUGCCUGGAACGGUUUAUGGUCCAAACGAUUCGUCGCCGUAGGGUGGGACUUGCGGCCUAUCAGCUUGUUGGUGAGGUAAUGGCCCACCAAGGCUAUUACAGGUACGGGCUCUGAGAGGAGAAGCCCGGAGAUGGGUACUGAGACACGGACCCAGGCCCUAUGGGGCGCAGCAGGCGAGAAACCUUUGCAAUGUGCGCAAGCACGACAAGGUUAAUCCGAGUGUUUCCUGCUAAAGGAAUCUUUUGUUAGUUGUAAAACCACUGAUGAAUAAGGGGUGGGCAAGUUCUGGUGUCAAGCCGCCGCGGUAAAACCAGCACCUCAAGUGGUCAGGAUGAUUAUUGGGCCUAAAGCAUCCGUAGCCUGUUCUGUAAGUUUUCGGUUAAAUCCAUUAGCUCAACUAAUGGGCUUGCCGAAAAUACUGCAGAACUAGGGAGUGGGAGAGGUAGACGGUACUCGGUAGGAAGGGGUAAAAUCCUUUGAUCUAUUGAUGACCACCUGUGGCGAAGGCGGUCUACCGGAACACUGUUCGACGGUGAGGGAUGAAAGCUGGGGGAGCAAACCGGAUUAGAUACCCGGGUAGUCCCAGCUGUAAACGAUGCAGACUCGGUGAUGCCCUGGCUUGUGGCCAGUGCAGUGCCGCAGGGAAGCCGUUAAGUUUGCCGCCUGGGAAGUACGUACGCAAGUAUGAAACUUAAAGGAAUUGGCGGGGGAGCAC